CCUACGGGCGGCUGCAGUGGGGAAUUUUGGACAAUGGGCGCAAGCCUGAUCCAGCCAUUCCGCGUGCAGGACGAAGGCCUUCGGGUUGUAAACUGCUUUUGUACGGAACGAAAGGGCUCUCUCUAAUACAGGGGGCAUAUGACGGUACCGUAAGAAUAAGCACCGGCUAACUACGUGCCAGCAGCCGCGGUAAUACGUAGGGUGCAAGCGUUGAUCGGAGUUACCGGGCGUAAAGCUGGAGGACACGGGUGAAAUCCCCGGGCUCAACCUGGGAACGGCCUUUGUGACUGCAAAGCUGGAGUGCGGCAGAGGGGGAUGGAAUUCCGCGUGUAGCAGUGAAAUGCGUAGAUAUGCGGAGGAACACCGAUGGCGAAGGCAAUCCCCUGGGCCUGCACUGACGCUCAUGCACGAAAGCGUGGGGAGCAAACAGGAUUAGAUACCCUAGUAGUC
Molecule: ribosomal RNA, 450 nt
Filed under: uncultured bacterium
Lineage: Bacteria
Description: partial 16S ribosomal RNA
Rfam family: Bacterial small subunit ribosomal RNA
Source: RNAcentral